Long non-coding RNA from Zea mays, 884 nucleotides. RefSeq lists it as uncharacterized. The record is from RefSeq and is a predicted model, not a curated record. The transcript has 4 exons. Lineage: Eukaryota; Viridiplantae; Streptophyta; Magnoliopsida; Poales; Poaceae.
CAAUGGCCGCGCGCGCGCUGCAAAUGCAUCGCCACUACCCGAGCCACUCUCUCUCUCUCUCACUCCAGUGCUCCUGCUGCGAAUGCGAUAUAUGUGCAGCUAGUCAGUAGGGUAGGUGAGAGAGAGAGAGAUUAGGAGGGUCUCCUCGCCUCCGAUCCCCAGCAUCGAUCGGCCAGUCGUGCUAGUGGGGGAGCUGGGGUAUGGUUGGUGUCCGUCGAUGAACGCAAUAAAUAAAUAAAACACCAGGGGCCUGCACUGCACACUGGAUCGUCAUCACUGCGCCAGGAACCAACUAGGACUGCUGCUGCGGCAUAUAGGCUCCGGCCGCCGGGCGAAAACACCCGUUAUUAUGCCUGUCAUGGCUGGAGUAUUUACAACCAUUUCCCUCACGCACGCAGUUUGCAGAUCACUGUCGGAGAGCCAUCAAUAGCCCUGCCGUGGCCGAGCCGUACCGUACGUCGAGCCGUCGAGGAGGUCCCCUGGAUUCUCUCCUGUGUUGCUCGGCCGGUUCAUCGUCAUCAAUUGCCUUGCCGGCCUUCGAGAACCAUCGUCAAGGCUCAGUCACCUGAUUGCACGCAAAUUUUGUGAUGAGUGUGCGAUUGGUCGGUCGACGAUAGAAAGAGGGAGAGGCAGGGGAUGAUUGCACUGCGCAACGGAGGAUGUGACUGGUGGAAGGAGUUGCGUUGGUCACUUGGGGCAGGAUUGGAGAAUCAAGCGAGGCGAGGCGAGGCCGAGGCAAGAGGAUGCAAACAUACUUGAUGUGUUUGUCCCCAGGGUGCGGCAAACAUUUGAUACAAGGGAAGAAGCCUACCUCUUUUACCUUGACUAUGCAAAGUUGGCUGGUUUUAGUGUCAGGACAAAGAGGUGUAAUUGCAACUGCUGGU